CUGCCUUGAAGAGGGGGACAACAGUUGGAAACGACUGCUAAUACCGCAUAACGCAUAGGGGUCGCAUGAUCUUUAUGCCAAAGAUUUAUUGCUUCAAGAUGGCCUCGCGUCUGAUUAGCUAGUUGGCGGGGUAACGGCCCACCAAGGCGACGAUCAGUAGCCGGACUGAGAGGUUGAACGGCCACAUUGGGACUGAGAUACGGCCCAGACUCCUACGGGAGGCAGCAGUGGGGAAUAUUGGGCAAUGGGCGCAAGCCUGACCCAGCAACGCCGCGUGAAGGAAGAAGGCUUUCGGGUUGUAAACUUCUUUUAAGAGGGAAGAGUAGAAGACGGUACCUCUAGAAUAAGCCACGGCUAACUACGUGCCAGCAGCCGCGGUAAUACGUAGGUGGCAAGCGUUGUCCGGAUUUACUGGGUGUAAAGGGCGUGCAGCCGGGUCUGCAAGUCAGAUGUGAAAUCCAUGGGCUCAACCCAUGAACUGCAUUUGAAACUGUAGAUCUUGAGUGUCGGAGGGGCAAUCGGAAUUCCUAGUGUAGCGGUGAAAUGCGUAGAUAUUAGGAGGAACAC
RNAcentral lists this ribosomal RNA (567 nucleotides) under uncultured bacterium. RNAcentral describes it as "bacterial SSU rRNA". It matches the Rfam family "Bacterial small subunit ribosomal RNA", at positions 126 to 709 of the family's 1533-position model. The record is from RNAcentral.